GACGAAGCGUACGAACGUUAUUCGGAAUUACUGGGCUUAAAGGGUGCGUAGGCUGUGCGGAAAGUUGGGCGUGAAAUACCUCAGCUUAACUGAGGAACUGCGUUCAAAACUACCGUGCUUGAGGGAGACAGAGGUAAGCGGAACUGAGGGUGGAGCGGUGAAAUGCGUUGAUAUCCUCAGGAACACCGGUGGCGAAAGCGGCUUACUGGGUCUCUUCUGACGCUGAUGCACGAAAGCUAGGGUAGCAAACGGG
This 253-nucleotide ribosomal RNA is filed under the name uncultured bacterium. RNAcentral's name for it is "partial 16S ribosomal RNA". It matches the Rfam family "Bacterial small subunit ribosomal RNA", at positions 524 to 776 of the family's 1533-position model. The record is from RNAcentral.